CCUACGGGAGGCAGCAGUGAGGAAUAUUGGUCAAUGGACGCGAGUCUGAACCAGCCAAGUAGCGUGAAGGAUGACUGCCCUAUGGGUUGUAAACUUCUUUUAUAUGGGAAUAAAAUGUUCCACGUGUGGGAUUUUGUAUGUACCAUAUGAGUAAGGAUCGGCUAACUCCGUGCCAGCAGCUGCGGUACUACGGAGGAUCCGAGCGUUAUCCGGAUUUGUAGGGUUUAAAGGGAGCGCAGGUGGAUUGUUAAGUCAGUUGUGAAAGUUUGCGGCUCAACCGUAAAAUUGCAGUUGAAACUGGCAGUCUUGAGUACAGUAGAGGUGGGCGGAAUUCGUGGUGUAGCGGUGAAAUGCUUAGAGAUCACGAAGAACUCCGAUGGCGAAGGCAGUUCACUGGACUGCAACUGACACUGAGGCUCGAAAGUGUGGGUAUCAAACAGGAUUAGAUACCCCUGUAGUC
Molecule: ribosomal RNA, 460 nt
Filed under: uncultured bacterium
Lineage: Bacteria
Description: partial 16S ribosomal RNA
Rfam family: Bacterial small subunit ribosomal RNA
Source: RNAcentral